CCAGGGUAUGCCAGAUCCGCCACAAAUACAGGAGAUCCACUGUUCACACGGACAGAGUCUCCCCUGUAUUUGCACGGCGUCGCACAAGUACAAGAGUUCAAACAUGAUACAACCACAACCAGAUGAACAUACAAAUAACCACAGUUAUAUAUUCAUACACCAUUCACCACAGAUUCACAUUUUACCAUUCAAUAUUUAAACAUAAAUUCACAUCUAUCAGUUAAAAUAUUUCCAACCACAGAAACAGGUUUUGAAAUACUAAGAUACAAAAUCACUGAAAACCCUUUGAAAACUGUUCCCUACACGGGAACUUUUAUCUUUUUAAAACGCUACCACGAGGGGUAGAAAAUUAUUUUUAUUUUACAAAAUCCAGAAAUCCACAUUUUCAAAUGUAAAUAAACACUGAACCACAUAAACCCACUAAACUAUUCAUCAAUCAAACUAAGAAGGGUAAGAAAGUAAACCGAAUUAACCUGGGUCGAGAGCUCUAUCGACCGCUACACGCGUACCUCACGUCUCGUCCCACUACUCACCGCCCGCGAUACCUAAAAAAAAUGGUGGGGGAGGUGAGAACAUGUAAACAUGUCUCCCCUCCCAGUGGGUACCGCAAGCCGAAGAAGGCGAGGAGGUACUCACCGGAUCAGGAAGAGCUAAACAACAGUACGGGUCAGUAGAAAAUACAGUAGCAAUAAUAAUGAAUGAAAGAGACAUAUAUAUAAAAGAAAGUACAACUACCGCUACUGUAAUGAACAACUGAAUGUAUACAUGUAACAAGACUAUAGUAGCAAGACAAUGUAACGAAAGAACUGAAGAUAUACAAGUGACCACUGCUACUAUAGUUAUAUGCGUCAACCGGACAAGUAGUCCAAAAGUACCCAAUCUAAACCGCCGUGUCGGUCUAAGGACCUCAGGCAAAAGCCACUACCUGCUCNUUUCCAACCACAGAAACAUGUUUUGAAAUGCUAAGAUGCAAAAUCCACAGAAAACCUUUCGAAAACUGUUUCCUACACGAAAACCUUUAUUCUUUACAAACGCUACCACGAGGGGUAGAAAACCUUUUAUUUCACAAAAUUCAUUUAUUACAUUCACGAAAAUCCAUAUUUUCAAAUGUAAAAAAAAUACUGAACCAUAUAACUGUCUAAGCUAUAACAACUGAAAUACUAAGGGUAAUAACUAUACCGAAAUAACCUGGGUCGGAAGUUCUAUCGUCCGCUACACACGUACCUCACGUCUCGUCCCUCUACUCAUCGCCCGCGAUACCUGAAAAAUGGUGGGGGAGGUGAGAACAUGUAAACAUGUCUCCCCUCCC
This 1309-nucleotide long non-coding RNA is filed under the name Ananas comosus (pineapple). Its description in RNAcentral is "long non-coding RNA (ACOM_LNC002013)". Lineage: Eukaryota; Viridiplantae; Streptophyta; Magnoliopsida; Poales; Bromeliaceae. The record is from RNAcentral.